CGCGUGGUGUCCGGUGCGCCCC
This 22-nucleotide small RNA is filed under the name Arabidopsis thaliana (thale cress). RNAcentral describes it as "Ath_wt_06185". Lineage: Eukaryota; Viridiplantae; Streptophyta; Magnoliopsida; Brassicales; Brassicaceae. The record is from RNAcentral.